CCCCACUGCUAUCGGGAUGGGACUAAGACAUGCUAGUCGAGCGUCUCCAAGCUAUGGAAGAGACGCGGCACACAGCUCAGUAACACGUGGCUAACCUGCCCUUGGGACAAGGACAACUCCGGGAAACUGGGGCUAAUCCCUGAUAAGUGAGAACUCCUGGAAUGGAUUCUCGCUCAAAGGACGUUUAGACCAUGCUUCUAAGCGUCGCCCAAGGAGGGGGCCGCGACCGAUCAGGUUGUUGGUGAGGUAACGGCUCACCAAGCCUUUAACCGGUACGGGCCGUGAGAGCGGAAGCCCGGAGAUGGGCACUGAGACAAGGGCCCAGGCCCUACGGGGCGCAGCAGUCGCGAAAACUCCGCAAUACACGAAAGUGUGACGGGGCCAUCCCGAGUGCCAUCCGCUGAGGAUGGCUUUUCCCCAGUGUAUAAAGCUGGGGGAAUAAGGAGAGGGCAAGCCUGGUGUCAGCCGCCGCGGUAAUACCAGCUCUCCGAGUGGUGGGGAUGUUUAUUGGGCCUAAAGCAUUCGUAGCCUGCUUGGCAAGUCCUCCGUUAAAUCCAACGAUUCAAUCGUUGGGCUGCGGGGGAUACUGUCCAGCUAGGGGGCGGGAGAGGCCGACGGUAUCCCCGGGGUAGGGGUGAAAUCCUAUAAUCCCGGGAGGACCACCAGUGGCGAAGGCUGUCGGCUAGAACGCGCUCGACGGUGAGGGAUGAAAGCUGGGGGAGCGAACCGGAUUAGAUACCCGGGUAGUCCCAGCUGUAAACGAUGCAGGCUAGGUGUUGGCGCGGCUACGUGCCGCUCCAGUGCCGCAGGGAAGCCGUUAAGCCUGCCGCCUGGGAAGUACGGCCGCAAGGCUGAAACUUAAAGGAAUUGGCGGGGGAGCACCACAAGGUGUGAAGCUUGCGGUUUAAUUGGAUUCAACGCCGG
This 924-nucleotide ribosomal RNA is filed under the name uncultured archaeon. RNAcentral's name for it is "bacterial SSU rRNA". It matches the Rfam family "Archaeal small subunit ribosomal RNA", at positions 21 to 921 of the family's 1478-position model. The record is from RNAcentral.